GAAUCAUCGAAUCUUUGAACGCACAUUGCGCCCGCUAGUAUUCUGGCGGGCAUGCCUGUCUGAGCGUCAUUUCAACCCUCGUCCCCGGCUUUUGCUGGGAGCGGUGUUGGGGAUCGGCCGCCCGUCACUGGGAGGCCGGCCCCGAAAUAGAGUGGCGACCACGCCGUGUGCUCCUCUGCGUAGUAGUAAAUCACCUCGCAGGCGGACAGCGGUGCGGCCUGCCGUAAAACCCCCAACUCUUUCUGGUUGACCUCAGAUCAGGUAGGAAUACCCGCUGAACUUAAGCAUAUCAAUAAGCGGAGGAAAAGAAACCAACAGGGAUUGCCUCAGUAACGGCGAGUGAAGCGGCAACAGCUCAAAUUUGAAAUCUGGCCCUAGGCCCGAGUUGUAAUUUGCAGAGGAUGUUUCUGGCGAGGUGCCUUCCGAGUUCCCUGGAACGGGACGCCAUAGAGGGUGAGAGCCCCGUACGGUUGGUCGCUAAGCCUCUGUGAAACUCCUUCGACGAGUCGAGUAGUUUGGGAAUGCUGCUCUAAAUGGGAGGUAUACGUCUUCUAAAGCUAAAUACCGGCCAGAGACCGAUAGCGCACAAG
This 590-nucleotide ribosomal RNA is filed under the name Hypocreales sp. PSU-ES184. Its description in RNAcentral is "eukaryotic LSU rRNA". The stretch from base 248 to 590 matches the Rfam family "Eukaryotic large subunit ribosomal RNA", at positions 1 to 348 of the family's 3401-position model. The record is from RNAcentral. Lineage: Eukaryota; Fungi; Ascomycota; Sordariomycetes; Hypocreales.